This 57-nucleotide transfer RNA is filed under the name Ovis aries (sheep). It matches the Rfam family "tRNA", at positions 8 to 63 of the family's 71-position model. From Rfam's summary of the family: Transfer RNA (tRNA) molecules are approximately 80 nucleotides in length. The record is from Rfam by way of RNAcentral. Lineage: Eukaryota; Metazoa; Chordata; Mammalia; Artiodactyla; Bovidae.
UAGCUCAGCUGGUAAAGCAUCUGCCUGCAAUGCAGGAGACCUGGGUUCAAUCCCUAG